CAGAGUCAAGCUCAUAUUCUCAUUUGACAGCUCAGCUUCUGAUGCAAAAUCCAUACCAUUGGCAUCACCUUUCAAACGUGUGAUGUUGUUGUUGGGAAGUAUUUCAGUUUGCUCAGCAUCAAGGUCAUCUGCUGUAUCUUUCAAGAUUGUGAUGCCAUUUUUGGAGAACUUCUCUGUGUCAGAAUCUUCACCACUGGUUGCCAGCAAAUCAUCACUGGUGGGAUGAUCAGUUUGCUCAGCUUUUACAGCAGCAUCAAGGUCAUCUGCUGUAUCUUUCAAACGUGUGAUUUUGUUAUUGGGAAGUAUUUCAGUUUGCUCAGCAUCAAGGUCAUCUGCUGUAUCUUUCAAGAUUGUGAUGCCAUUUUUGGAGAACUUCUCUGUGUCAGAAUCUUCACCACUGGUUGCCAGCAAAUCAUCACUGGUGGGAUGAUCAGUUUGCUCAGCUUUU
RNAcentral lists this long non-coding RNA (448 nucleotides) under Coffea arabica (coffee). RNAcentral describes it as "long non-coding RNA (CARA_LNC006629)". The record is from RNAcentral. Lineage: Eukaryota; Viridiplantae; Streptophyta; Magnoliopsida; Gentianales; Rubiaceae.